Non-coding RNA from Felis catus (domestic cat), 85 nucleotides. The record is from Rfam. NCBI's taxonomy places the organism in Eukaryota, Metazoa, Chordata, Mammalia, Carnivora, Felidae.
GCCUGGAUGGCUCAGUCGGUUAAGCAUCUGACUUCAACUCGGGUCAUGAUCUCAUGGUUCGUGAGUUCAAGCCCCGCUUCGGCCU